This 440-nucleotide ribosomal RNA is filed under the name uncultured bacterium. RNAcentral describes it as "partial 16S ribosomal RNA". It matches the Rfam family "Bacterial small subunit ribosomal RNA", at positions 338 to 795 of the family's 1533-position model. The record is from RNAcentral.
CCUACGGGUGGCAGCAGUGGGGAAUAUUGCACAAUGGGGGAAACCCUGAUGCAGCGACGCCGCGUGAAGGAAGAAGUACUUCGGUAUGUAAACUUCUAUCAGCAGGGAAGAAAAUGACGGUACCUGACUAAGAAGCCCCGGCUAACUACGUGCCAGCAGCCGAGGGUAUACGGAGGGGGCAAGCGUUAUCCGGAUUUACUGGGCGUAAAGGGAGCGUAGGCGGUUUAGCAAGUCAGAAGGGAAAGCCCCGGGCUAAACUCCGGGACUGCCUUUGAAACUGUUGAACUAGAUUGCAGGAGAGGUAAGCGGAAUUCGUAGUGUAGCGGUGAAAUGCGUAGAUAUUAGGAGGAACACCAGUGGCGAAGGCGGCUUACUGGACUGUAAAUGACGCUGAGGCUCGAAGGCGUGGGGAGCAAACAGGAUUAGAUACCCUAGUAGUC